ACAGGCUACGACUGUGCGGAAAUGAUACGAAUGCAAAGUAGAAAUGAUUUUAUUAUCUUAUAGAAGCUCUAGACUAAAUGCCUCUGCUAGCUGAAGGCAAACAGAAUUGGUUGGGUCUUAUUUUUGUUGUUUUUUUCAUUUAAAAAAAGCACAUGUAAGUGAAGUUUCAAAUUUGUAAGUUUAUUCACUAAAAUGAGUAAUCUCUUGAGACAACGGAUCUUUCACCCAAAAUAGCGGAACUUGCUGAAUCCUUAUAUCAUAACGCCUUUUGAGCUCAGUGUGCAAGGAACCAUGUUAUUUUUUUUUAAUAGUCAAUUUUAGACCUCUAGUAACUUCUGAACUUCUCUUACCAGAGACUUCUUCCAGUGUUUUAUAUCUUUUACCUAAAAAGUUUAGCAGGGAAACUCUGAACAUUUGUUUUAUACUGUAGUGUCUUAAUUUCUGUCAAAACUCUCUUCAUCUUAAUUUUCAUUUCUGAUUUAAAUGGAAAUCACUUGUACCAUAUUGUUCUAGUACAAAAUUAUUAAGGAAGUGUCAAGCAUACCGAAUGACAUAAUUAAUAAUAUAUAAUAUAUAAUUGAUGGUCAGGCUUUUGCCGAAAGGAAGCAUGGUGAUUGGUGAGUAACAAAGUGUUGUCUGUAGUCUAUUUAUGUCAUUACUGAGUUGGCAUUUUUAAUAGGUGGCAUUUGUCCAUUAGAUGUGAUGUGGAUAGAAGUUUAGUUUUUUGUUUUGACCAUCUCCCAAAUCUUUGAUUGCUCUUUUCUGGCUACAUUUGGUGAUUAUGUUGCAUGUUUAUGAAGCGUAAUAGUUGCAAAACACGAUCAUGGUUGAAGUAAAUGAUUUUUAACGUUUUGAAUGUGGUUGCUUUUGCUUCUAAUUGCCUUUAAAUACUUCUAAAUAGAAUAGGAUCUGGACAUAAUUAGAUACAUGUACGAGCUUUUGGAAUAUGGAAACUAAAUAUCUUUCUUACAAAGAAAACUUAUAUAUAAGAGGAAUGGGAGAGAAUGGAAGGAUGUGUUCGUGUUUUACAGGUGGUUGAUUUCACAUCAACAUAAUAUACUGAGUUUCAUUAUAACUAAAUAUUGAAGACAUGAUUUAAGUUUUCUUUUUCCUGUAAACACCGAAUACUUGCUUUUCAAAUAAUUAAUGAAUAAUAUGAAAAGAGUCUGUUUGUCUUUUUAGUGUGUCUGAUUAAGUGUUAAAACCUAAUGCAAAGUUCUGUUGUAAUAAUUUCCUAGCAGAAUGGGAUGUUGACAUGUUUAGAAUUUUAGAUGCCAUUAUGAAGUUAUAUACAUUAAGGAAUUUCUUAGUCUGAAACUAUAUGAAGCAGAGAGUCUUAUAUUACAAAGUAGUAG
RNAcentral lists this long non-coding RNA (1355 nucleotides) under Daucus carota (carrot). RNAcentral describes it as "long non-coding RNA (DCAR_LNC002029)". Lineage: Eukaryota; Viridiplantae; Streptophyta; Magnoliopsida; Apiales; Apiaceae. The record is from RNAcentral.